UGGGGGAAUAUUGCACAAUGGGGGAAAACCCUGAUGCAGCCAUGCCGCGUGUGUGAAGAAGGCCUUCGGGUUGUAAAGCACUUUCAGCGAGGAAGGAAAGGUUGUUUGGCUAAUACCCAGCAAACUGUGACGUUCUCCCAGAAAAAGCACCCGCUAACUCCGUUGC
This 166-nucleotide ribosomal RNA is filed under the name uncultured bacterium. RNAcentral describes it as "partial 16S ribosomal RNA". It matches the Rfam family "Bacterial small subunit ribosomal RNA", at positions 354 to 509 of the family's 1533-position model. The record is from RNAcentral.